Molecule: ribosomal RNA, 253 nt
Filed under: uncultured bacterium
Lineage: Bacteria
Description: partial 16S ribosomal RNA
Rfam family: Bacterial small subunit ribosomal RNA
Source: RNAcentral
UACGGAGGGUGCUAGCGUUGUUCGGAAUUACUGGGCGUAAAGCGCGCGUAGGCGGCCUGACAAGUCAGAGGUGAAAGCCCAGAGCUUAACUCUGGAAUUGCCUUUGAAACUGUUGGGCUGGAGUCAAGUAGGGGAUAGUGGAAUUCCUAGUGUAGAGGUGAAAUUCGUAGAUAUUAGGAGGAACACCGGAGGCGAAGGCGACUAUCUGGACUUGUACUGACGCUAAGGCGCGAAAGCGUGGGGAGCAAACAGG